RNA transcript from Homo sapiens (human), 2344 nucleotides. RefSeq lists it as uncharacterized. The transcript is spliced from 2 exons. NCBI's taxonomy places the organism in Eukaryota, Metazoa, Chordata, Mammalia, Primates, Hominidae. The record is from RefSeq and is a predicted model, not a curated record.
AUGUUCUUGGUAUUAAAAAAAAAGCAUAUUUGUCACAGAAAUUUAGUUAACAUCUUACAACUGAACAUGUAUGUAUGUUGCUUAGAUAAAUGUAAUCACUGUAAACAUCUAUAUGAUCUGGGAUUUUGUUUUUAUUUUGAAAUGGGAGCUUUUUUGUUUACAAGUUCAUUAAAAACUAAAAACUGUUUCUGUAAGGAAAUGAGAUUUUUUUUAAACAACAAAAAAUGCCUUGCUGACUCACUAUUAAAUAAAAAUCUCCCCAAUUUUUUGAUAGACUACUUCAAGCCAUUUGUUACAUGGUAUUCCUUUGCAAGUCAAUUUAGGUUUCGUGUUAUAACUUUUCCUCUUUUUUUAAGAAAAAUGAAAAAAGUAAUUCUUUUGUCUGAAGGGGAAAGGCAUUCUUUCAUUUUUUUCUUUUUUUUUUUUUUUUUUUAUGACUUGCAGGCACAAUAUCUAGUACUGCAACUGCCAGAACUUGGUAUUGUAGCUGCUGCCCGCUGACUAGCAGCUGGACUGAUUUUGAAUAAAAAUGAAAGCAUUAAAGGGUUUCCCUACAAAACAUUUUUCUUUAAAAUACUUUUGAAAUGGCUAUAAGCAGUUGACUUUCACCCUUGGAGAGCAUCACACUGUGUGAGGUUCAGUGAUUGUUGACCCUCCCCAGCCCCUCCUGCUUCUUUAAGUUAUCUGUGUGCGUGCGCUUCCUCUCAAUCUUCUUUGCACGCUCAUUUCUUUUUCUCUGACCCAUGAGAAAGGAAAACUUACUGAUGAUAAUUUUUAAAUAGUGUAAUUUAUUCAUUUAUAGCAUGUCAGGAUAAAUUAAAAGAACAUUUGUCUGGAAAUGCUGCCGGGAGCCUAUUGUGUAAAUGUAGGUAUUUUGUAAAAUAACCUUGAAAUUGUAAAUUGACACGUGUUUGGUCAGAUUGUGUCAAGUUUAAUUUGUUUUGUUUUCUUUUUUCUUUUUUUUAUUUGAAAACUACUUUAGCAAUAAUUAAUUCCAUGAUUAUCACAUUCUGCCAUUAAGGGAUAUUAGUACCGUAAUACUGAAGAAAUUUUAUUAAGUCUGAACUUCUGGGGUAGGCAGCUUCUUUGUUUCUUUUCUAUCCACCCUUGUCGGUUGAGGUAUUUGUUUCUUGACUAAUAAACCCUUUGAUACUUUUAGCCAGAAAUCAGUCUCAUAAAGCUAUUUUUGAGUAUAGUUUGUGUAAAAUAAAAAUGUUUAGCUUUGGUAAUAACUUCCAAGCUGAACUCCCUCUAGCAAGAUAUUUUUCAGUGCUUUUAUUUACUAUGCACUUAGACUAUGCACUUUUUCUGAAAUAUUUUUGUAACACUUUUUUGUAUUUUUGCCAUUUGAAAAGGUUGUGGUGUAGUUGGUCUGUAAUUAAGUUGCAGAUUUAAAACUGCUGUUAGCUUUGUAAAUCAAAAUAUAGGUGUUUUUUGUCCUGGUAUAUCGUCAUUCCAUCUGCAGCUGGAGCUGGAAUCCCAUUGAUCUUCUAGCUACCAUUCAUUUUCUUCACUGUUCACAAAAGAAGAGUGUGAAAUUCAGUGAAUGCUGUUACUAAUCCUGUUACGAGAUGAAUCUCAUUUCACCAAAAUUAAAUUAUGUUUUUCCGCUAAAAUGAUGAUACAAGUUGAAGACACAUCACUCUGAAAUUGGAAGACCUCACCACUUAAGGCUCCACAGUGGCUUACUCAGCUGAACUCUAGCAGUGUAUGUUUGAAACAGCCAAAGAUGGCGAUGAACCAAGUGUAAAUUGAUCUAAGCAGCCCAUGCAGUUUGUGUUGAAUCAACAAACAGUGUAUUGUUGAAGUGAAAUUAUUUUCUGAAAUGACUUGUUAGACCAGUUUUGAGGACAUACUCAAAAGUAGAGUAAUAAUGGCUCCUGGGAUGGAGAAAUAUGAGAUGAACCUGGAACAUUCUAUUAUGGUGCCACAAAGGAAAUCUAAAAAAAAAAAAAAAAAAAAAAGUGGUUGGCUAGGAGCAGUGGCACACGCCUGUGAUUCCAGCACUUUGGGAGGCCGAAGUGGGCAGGAGUUCAAGACCAGCCUGGCCAACAUAGUGAAACCCUGUCUCUACUAAAAAUACAAAAAUUAGCCGGGUGUGGUGGCGGGCGCCUGUAAUCCCAGCUUUUCAAGAGGCUGAGGCAGAAGAAUCGCUUGAACCCGGGAGAUGGAGGUUGCAGUGAGCUGAGAUCGUGCCACUGCACUCCAGCCUGGGCGUUGCAGUGAGACUCCGUCUCAACAACAACAAAAAGGUGGAUACAUGUCAAAAGGGCACAGGAGCCACUUGAAGGAUUAUACUUGCUAAAUCUGUGUCAAUUAUCAAAAUAAACUGGUAGCAACGUUA